UAUGCUGGAGCGGCUUGCUCCCCAUGUGGAAACGUCGCUGCGUCUGAGUAUUCAUUUGAUGGACGCCCAGGCCGUCAACGCCGGCAUGGGCACGGCGAUGGNCCCGGAUCGGAAUCGGCGUGUUUGCACUGGAUGCGAUGGGCCGCGUGGUGUCUUCCAAUGCGGCCUCCCAGGCGCUUCUCGGCGACGGACUGAAUAUCGUGAACGACCGCCUGGUGCUGGCAAAUCCGGCAGCGAGCGGGGAGGCUGUGACUGCGAUCCGGAAUGCCCUCGACGGGAACCGGAUUAUCCUGUCGCAGGAAUCCAAACCGAUCCUGGUA
Molecule: unclassified non-coding RNA, 320 nt
Filed under: Hevea brasiliensis (rubber tree)
Lineage: Eukaryota; Viridiplantae; Streptophyta; Magnoliopsida; Malpighiales; Euphorbiaceae
Source: RNAcentral